RNAcentral lists this transfer RNA (72 nucleotides) under Orbicella faveolata. RNAcentral describes it as "tRNA-Glu". It matches the Rfam family "tRNA". Rfam says of the family: Transfer RNA (tRNA) molecules are approximately 80 nucleotides in length. Their secondary structure includes four short double-helical elements and three loops (D, anti-codon, and T loops). Further hydrogen bonds mediate the characteristic L-shaped molecular structure. tRNAs have two regions of fundamental functional importance: the anti-codon, which is responsible for specific mRNA codon recognition, and the 3' end, to which the tRNAs corresponding amino acid is attached (by aminoacyl-tRNA synthetases). tRNAs cope with the degeneracy of the genetic code in two manners: having more than one tRNA (with a specific anti-codon) for a particular amino acid; and 'wobble' base-pairing, i.e. permitting non-standard base-pairing at the 3rd anti-codon position. The record is from RNAcentral. Lineage: Eukaryota; Metazoa; Cnidaria; Anthozoa; Scleractinia; Merulinidae.
UCCCACGUGGUCUAGUGGUUAGGAUUCGCCGCUCUCACCGCCGCGGCCCGGGUUCGAUUCCCGGCGUGGGAA